Hippopotamus amphibius kiboko is the source of this 73-nucleotide non-coding RNA. The record is from the annotation of a RefSeq genome assembly. Lineage: Eukaryota; Metazoa; Chordata; Mammalia; Artiodactyla; Hippopotamidae.
UCCCUGAUAGUCCAGUGGUUAGGACUCCACGCUUCAGCUGCAGGGGGCACAGGUUCAAUCCCUGGUUAGGGAA